RNAcentral lists this ribosomal RNA (237 nucleotides) under uncultured bacterium. RNAcentral's name for it is "partial 16S ribosomal RNA". It matches the Rfam family "Bacterial small subunit ribosomal RNA", at positions 118 to 354 of the family's 1533-position model. The record is from RNAcentral.
UGAGCAAUCUGCCCUUCUCACCGGAAUAAGCGUUGGAAACGACGUCUAAUGCCGAAUACGACCUCCUUUCGCAUGAUCGGAGGUGGAAAGCUCCGGCGGAGAAGGAUGAGCUCGCGGCCUAUCAGCUAGUUGGUGUGGGUAACGGCCCACCAAGGCGACGACGGGUAGCCGGCCUGAGAGGGUGACCGGCCACACUGGGACUGAGACACGGCCCAGACUCCUACGGGAGGCAGCAGG